CCGCCAGAGAGAGACCCGAGCCCCGCCAGAGAGAGACCCGAGCCCCGCUAGAGAGAGACCCGAGCCCCGCCAGAGAGAGACCCGAGCCCCGCCAGAGAGAGACCCGAGCCCCGCCAGAGAGAGACCUGAAACCCCAGUUCGCCGACAAAGACGGGAGCCUGGAGCGGGUCUGAGGCCCCUGUUGGCCGGUUUCACUCCGUGGCUCUCCUCCACAGCUCCACGCCGCCGCUCAGGCCCGGGCUCAGGGCUGAGAUGACCGGAGGACCGGAGGACCCGUGAGAACCAGGAUGGAAGUGUGCGGCCGGACUCCGAACCGGACGGAGCCGGCGGGGUCCCGGUCCGGGUCCGGGUCCGGGUCCCGGUCCGGGCCGGCGCUGCUCCCGGACCAACGGCUGGAGCUGGCCCCCCCACCCCCUGCAGCUGCUGGCCUGGCUGCUCUACGUCUUCUUCGCCGUGGCGGGCUUCGGCGUCUUCGUGCCGCUGCUGCCGGCGCACUGGAUCCCCGCCGGGUACAUCUGCACGGGCGUCACGUUCUCCGCCCACCUGCUGGUCCACGUCCUGGCCGUCUCCGUGGACCCGGCGGACCGGAACGUCCGGCUGAAGGCCGACCGCGGCCCGCCGCCCGCCUUCGACCGGACCCGCCGCGCCCACGUCAUCGAGAACUGCCACUGCUUCCUGUGCCAGGUGGACGUAGGCUCCAAGUCGAAGCACUGCUCCUCCUGCAACAAGUGUGUGGCCGACUU
Molecule: long non-coding RNA, 743 nt
Organism: Salarias fasciatus (jewelled blenny)
Lineage: Eukaryota; Metazoa; Chordata; Actinopteri; Blenniiformes; Blenniidae
Exons: 4
Source: RefSeq, a predicted model, not a curated record